RNAcentral lists this ribosomal RNA (491 nucleotides) under uncultured bacterium. RNAcentral describes it as "partial 16S ribosomal RNA". It matches the Rfam family "Bacterial small subunit ribosomal RNA", at positions 29 to 506 of the family's 1533-position model. The record is from RNAcentral.
AGUGAACGCUGGCGGUAGGCCUAACACAUGCAAGUCGAACGGCAGCACAGUAAGAGCUUGCUCUUACGGGUGGCGAGUGGCGGACGGGUGAGGAAUACAUCGGAAUCUACUUUUUCGUGGGGGAUAACGUAGGGAAACUUACGCUAAUACCGCAUACGACCUACGGGUGAAAGCAGGGGAUCUUCGGACCUUGCGCGACUGAAUGAGCCGAUGUCGGAUUAGCUAGUUGGCGGGGUAAAGGCCCACCAAGGCGACGAUCCGUAGCUGGUCUGAGAGGAUGAUCAGCCACACGGGAACUGAGACACGGUCCAGACUCCUACGGGAGGCAGCAGUGGGGAAUAUUGGACAAUGGGCGCAAGCCUGAUCCAGCCAUACCGCGUGGGUGAAGAAGGCCUUCGGGUUGUAAAGCCCUUUUGUUGGGAAAGAAAAGCAGCAGGUUAAUACCCCGCUGUUCUGACGGUACCCAAAGAAUAAGCACCGGCUAACUUCGU